GACGAACGCUGGCGGCGCGCUUAACACAUGCAAGUCGAACGCUGAAGCUCAGCUUGCUGGGUGGAUGAGUGGCGAACGGGUGAGUAACACGUGAGUAACCUGCCCUCUUCUUUGGGAUAACGCCCGGAAACGGGUGCUAAUACUGGAUAUUCACUGAUUCUCGCAUGGGGGUUGGUGGAAAGGUUUUUUCUGGUGGGGGAUGGGCUCGCGGCCUAUCAGCUUGUUGGUGGGGUGAUGGCCUACCAAGGCUUUGACGGGUAGCCGGCCUGAGAGGGUGACCGGUCACAUUGGGACUGAGAUACGGCCCAGACUCCUACGGGAGGCAGCAGUGGGGAAUAUUGCACAAUGGGCGAAAGCCUGAUGCAGCGACGCCGCGUGAGGGAUGGAGGCCUUCGGGUUGUAAACCUCUUUCGCUCAUGGUCAAGCCGCAGCUUUGGGUUGUGGUGAGGGUAGUGGGUAAAGAAGCGCCGGCUAACUACGUG
Molecule: ribosomal RNA, 482 nt
Filed under: uncultured bacterium
Lineage: Bacteria
Description: partial 16S ribosomal RNA
Rfam family: Bacterial small subunit ribosomal RNA
Source: RNAcentral